ACGGCUCAGUAACACGUGGUCAUUCUACCCUAUGGUGGAGAAUAUCCCCGGAAAACUGGGACUAAUACUCCAUAGGUGAGAUGUAUUGGAAUCAUCAUCUCAUCGAAAGAUCCGUCGCCAUAGGAUGAGACUGCGUCCGAUUAGGUAGUUGUUGGGGUAUGUGCCCACCAAGCCGAUAAUCGGUACGGGUUGUGGGAGCAAAAGCCCGGAGAUGGACUCUGAAACACGAGUCCAGGCCCUACGGGGCGCAGCAGGCGCGAAACCUUUACCAUGCGGGCAACCGUGAUAAGGAAACCCCGAGUGGAUGAAAAGUCAUCCUGUCCAUCAGUCUAGAAAGCUGGUGAAGAAAGGGCCGGGCAAGACCGGUGCCAGCCGCCGCGGUAAUACCGGCGGCUCGAGUGGUGGCCACUAUUACUGGGCUUAAAGGGUCCGUAGCUUGCAUGAUAAGCCUCUUGAGAAAUCCACUGGCUUAACCAAUGGUCGUUCUGGAGGAACUGUCAUGCUAGGGACCGGGAGAGGUAAGGGGUACUGCCGGGGUAGGAGUGAAAUCCUGUAAUCCCGGUGGGACCACCGGUGGCGAAGGCGCCAUACCAGAACGGCUCCGACAGUGAGGGACGAAAGCUGGGGGAGCGAACCGGAUUAGAUACCCGGGUAGUCCCAGCCGUAAACAAUGCGCGUUAGGUGUGUCUGUGACCACGUGUCACUGAGGUGCCGAAGGGAAACCGUGAAACGCGCCGCCUGGGAAGUACGGUCGCAAGGCUGAAACUUAAAGGAAUUGGCGGGGGAG
This 787-nucleotide ribosomal RNA is filed under the name uncultured euryarchaeote. Its description in RNAcentral is "bacterial SSU rRNA". It matches the Rfam family "Archaeal small subunit ribosomal RNA", at positions 85 to 876 of the family's 1478-position model. The record is from RNAcentral. Lineage: Archaea; Methanobacteriati; Methanobacteriota.